Molecule: transfer RNA, 85 nt
Filed under: Pseudomonas taiwanensis
Lineage: Bacteria; Pseudomonadati; Pseudomonadota; Gammaproteobacteria; Pseudomonadales; Pseudomonadaceae
Description: tRNA-Tyr
Rfam family: tRNA
About the family: Transfer RNA (tRNA) molecules are approximately 80 nucleotides in length.
Source: RNAcentral
GGAUAGGUUGUCGAGCGGCCAAAGACGGCGGUCUGUAAAAUCGCUCCCUCCGGGUUCAGAGGUUCAAAUCCUCUCCUAUCCACCA